AAAAAGGCCCUAUUUUCCUCUGCCACUCUCAAUCCUCGCAGCUUUCUUGAUCCACCCGAGGACGGCUGGAAGUAAAAGGAAAGAGAAAGACAGACCCGAGGACGACUGAAAAGAAAGGAAGGAAAAGGGUGACAGAAAAAGCUGGCUGGAACAAGGAGAAGAGAGGGAAAAAAAGGGGUUUUUUGGCGCUUCUCUGGAUUUUCUCUAAAAAAAGAUCAAAAAGCAGGAGUUUGGAGGGGUUGAGUAAGAGAUCUGGAGGAGUCUUUGGGACUUCAAAGACGGGUCAUAGCCAGAGAAAAAAGGGGAAAAGGGUUGUGAGGAGGGGGGAUGGUUUCCGGAAGAGAAAAAAAAACAGAGAGGAAAAGAGCGAGUAGAAGGCAAGUUGUAUGAUCUUCGCUUGAGGAUUCAGGUAUGGCGAUUAUGAGCACUUUCACUCCGUAUUUUCUUUAUUUUCCUCUUUUGACAUCAUCGUGCUUAGGCAUGGUUUAAUGGGUUUGUUAAGAUAUGUGCUUCGUUUUGCCUUUUCUCUGGUUUUCUCUGUUUUCUCCCUCAAAUGACUGAGGUAUGCUUUUGCUUUCUUCGAGUUUGAUGUUUGAUUAAAUACCUAAAAGCUUAAUGCUCAUUCCACCAGCUGCCAUUUUGUUCAUCACUCA
Molecule: long non-coding RNA, 653 nt
Organism: Vitis riparia (riverbank grape)
Lineage: Eukaryota; Viridiplantae; Streptophyta; Magnoliopsida; Vitales; Vitaceae
Exons: 2
Source: RefSeq, a predicted model, not a curated record